UUUCCGUAGGUGAACCUGCGGAAGGAUCAUUAUCGUAUAACCGAGGUGCGAGGGCUGUCGCUGACCCGAAAGGUCGUGCACGCCCGAGUGCCCUCACGCACAUCCAUCUUACCCCUAUGUGCACCACCGCGUGGGUCCCCCUUUGGCUUGUUCGGAGGGGGGCUUACGUUUUCACACAAACUUUGUAUGCAGUGUAGAAUGUAUUUUUUGUUUUUGCGAUCACGCAAUCAAUACAACUUUCAACAACGGAUCUCUUGGCUCUC
This 263-nucleotide unclassified non-coding RNA is filed under the name plant metagenome. RNAcentral's name for it is "partial contains small subunit ribosomal RNA, internal transcribed spacer 1, and 5.8S ribosomal RNA". The record is from RNAcentral.